UUGGCAUAUGUUAUAUGGGUCCUUUACAAUUUUUAAAAAAGUUUUUUUUUUCACUCAUGAUACUAUUUUCACCUCUUUCAGUUUUUUUUUCAAUGCUUUAUUCAUAAAAUAUUAUUUUAAACCUCCUAUUAAACAAAGGCAAAAGCUUUAACUAAAGAGUAGCUAGCCUUCUAAUUUAUUUACUUUCGUAUUUUUUUUUCUCAAUGAGCUAACUUAGCA
This 219-nucleotide long non-coding RNA is filed under the name Brassica rapa (field mustard). RNAcentral describes it as "long non-coding RNA (BRAP_LNC001119)". Lineage: Eukaryota; Viridiplantae; Streptophyta; Magnoliopsida; Brassicales; Brassicaceae. The record is from RNAcentral.